GAGCGAACGCUGGCGGCAGGCUUAACACAUGCAAGUCGAGCGGGCGUAGCAAUACGUCAGCGGCAGACGGGUGAGUAACGCGUGGGAACGUACCUUUUGGUUCGGAACAACACAGGGAAACUUGUGCUAAUACCGGAUAAGCCCUUACGGGGAAAGAUUUAUCGCCGAAAGAUCGGCCCGCGUCUGAUUAGCUAGUUGGUGAGGUAACGGCUCACCAAGGCGACGAUCAGUAGCUGGUCUGAGAGGAUGAUCAGCCACAUUGGGACUGAGACACGGCCCAAACUCCUACGGGAGGCAGCAGUGGGGAAUAUUGGACAAUGGGCGCAAGCCUGAUCCAGCCAUGCCGCGUGAGUGAUGAAGGCCCUAGGGUUGUAAAGCUCUUUUGUGCGGAAGAUAAUGACGGUA
Molecule: ribosomal RNA, 405 nt
Filed under: uncultured rape rhizosphere bacterium wr0023
Lineage: Bacteria
Description: bacterial SSU rRNA
Rfam family: Bacterial small subunit ribosomal RNA
Source: RNAcentral